RNAcentral lists this transfer RNA (76 nucleotides) under Salmonella sp. FORC89. RNAcentral's name for it is "tRNA-Thr". Lineage: Bacteria; Pseudomonadati; Pseudomonadota; Gammaproteobacteria; Enterobacterales; Enterobacteriaceae. The record is from RNAcentral.
UUAUCGCCAAAGCGGUAUUCAUGAUUCUUCUCAUUCGUUUUUUGCAUGCUUAUUCUCCUGUUACAGGCCUGGCGCU